RNAcentral lists this ribosomal RNA (253 nucleotides) under uncultured bacterium. RNAcentral describes it as "partial 16S ribosomal RNA". It matches the Rfam family "Bacterial small subunit ribosomal RNA", at positions 524 to 776 of the family's 1533-position model. The record is from RNAcentral.
UACGUAGGUGACAAGCGUUGUCCGGAUUUACUGGGCGUAAAGAGCGCGCAGGCGGUCGAUCAAGUCGAGUGUGAAAGCCCCCGGCUCAACUGGGGAGGGUCAUUCGAAACUGGUCGACUCGAAGGCAGGAGAGGGUAGUGGAAUUCCCGGCGUAGUGGUGAAAUGCGUAGAUAUCGGGAGGAACACCAGUGGCGAAGGCGACUACCUGGCCUGUUCUUGACGCUGAGGCGCGAAAGCCAGGGGAGCAAACGGG